GACGAACGCUGGCGGCGUGCUUAACACAUGCAAGUCGAACGGUGAAGCGCCUUCCUUUUUGGAGGGUGUGGAUGAGUGGCGAACGGGUGAGUAACACGUGAGUAACCUGCCCCCUUCUUCUGGAUAACCGCAUGAAAGUGUGGCUAAUACGGGAUAUUCUGGGUCUGUCGCAUGACGGGUCUGGGACAGAUAUUGUUUCGGUGGGGGAUGGGCUCGCGGCCUAUCAGCUCGUUGGUGGGGUGAUGGCCUACCAAGGCGGUGACGGGUAGCCGGCCUGAGAGGGUAGGCGGACAGAAUGGGGCUGAGAGACGGCCGAGACUCCUACGGGAGGCAGCGGUGGGGAAUAUGGCACAAUGGGCGCAAGCCUGAUGCAGCGACGCCGCGUGAGGGAUGGAGGCCUUCGGGUUGUGAACCUCUUUCGCCAGUGAAGCAGGCCUGCCUCGUUUGUGGGUGGAUUGACGGUAGCUGGAUAAGAAGCGCCGGCUAACUACGUG
Molecule: ribosomal RNA, 494 nt
Filed under: uncultured bacterium
Lineage: Bacteria
Description: partial 16S ribosomal RNA
Rfam family: Bacterial small subunit ribosomal RNA
Source: RNAcentral